GAUGAACGCUGGCGGCGUGCCUAAUACAUGCAAGUCGAGCGAACAGACGAGGAGCUUGCUCCUCUGACGUUAGCGGCGGACGGGUGAGUAACACGUGGAUAACCUACCUAUAAGACUGGGAUAACUUCGGGAAACCGGAGCUAAUACCGGAUAAUAUAUUGAACCGCAUGGUUCAAUAGUGAAAGACGGUUUUGCUGUCACUUAUAGAUGGAUCCGCGCCGCAUUAGCUAGUUGGUAAGGUAACGGCUUACCAAGGCAACGAUGCGUAGCCGACCUGAGAGGGUGAUCGGCCACACGGGAACUGAGACACGGUCCAGACUCCUACGGGAGGCAGCAGUAGGGAAUAUUCCGCAAUGGGCGAAAGCCUGACGGAGCAACGCCGCGUGAGUGAUGAAGGUCUUCGGAUCGUAAAACUCUGUUAUUAGGGAAGAACAAAUGUGUAAGUAACUAUGCACGUCUUGACGGUACCUAAUCAGAAAGCCACGGCUAACUACGUA
Molecule: ribosomal RNA, 497 nt
Filed under: uncultured bacterium
Lineage: Bacteria
Description: partial 16S ribosomal RNA
Rfam family: Bacterial small subunit ribosomal RNA
Source: RNAcentral